AGCAGCCGCGGUAAUUCCAGCUCCAAUAGCGUAUAUUAAAGUUGUUGCAGUUAAAAAGCUCGUAGUUGAAUUUCGGGAUCAAUUGAUUGGUCAUGCCUACGGUAUGUACUAGUCAUAUUGGUUCUCACCUUCUAAUGAACCUUAAUGUCAUUCACUUGAUGUUUUGGGGAAUUAGGACUGUUACCUUGAAAAAAUUAGAGUGUUUAAAGCAGGCUUACGCUUGAAUACAUUAGCAUGGAAUAAUGAAAUAGGACAUCGCAUUCUAUUUUGUUGGUUUCUAGGAUCGAUGUAAUGAUUAAUAGGGAUAGUUGGGGGCAUUAGUAUUCAAUUGUCAGAGGUGAAAUUCUUGGAUUUAUUGAAGACUAACUACUGCGAAAGCAUUUGCCAAGGAUGUUUUCAUUAAUCAAGAACGAAAGUUAGGGGAUCGAAGACGAUCAGAUACCGUCGUAGUCUUAACCAUAAACUAUGCCGACUAGGGAUCGGAUGAUGUUAAUUUUUAAAUGACUCAUUC
This 511-nucleotide small RNA is filed under the name uncultured Entrophospora. RNAcentral describes it as "SSU rRNA". It matches the Rfam family "Eukaryotic small subunit ribosomal RNA", at positions 569 to 1081 of the family's 1831-position model. Lineage: Eukaryota; Fungi; Glomeromycota; Glomeromycetes; Entrophosporales; Entrophosporaceae. The record is from RNAcentral.